RNAcentral lists this long non-coding RNA (260 nucleotides) under Phascolarctos cinereus (koala). Its description in RNAcentral is "lncRNA (ENSPCIG00000035088.1)". Lineage: Eukaryota; Metazoa; Chordata; Mammalia; Diprotodontia; Phascolarctidae. The record is from RNAcentral.
CAAAGGGGUGCUACCGAGUAGGGAAAGAAGAUUUGUCUUGCCCAGCCCCCUCAAUUGGAGGUUUUGGGAGGAAUUCUUAGCUUCACCCUCCAAUCAGAACUGAAAGUGCAUUGUUUUAUUGAACAGUCAAGAAGCAUUUAUGACCAGGACUCCAGAGAACUGAUAAGGAAGAAUGCUACCUACCCCCUGACAGAAGGAUGCAACCAAGAAUUUCAUCCAAGAACAAAACGCCUAUUGCGUGGCCUGGCACUGGGGACAGG